RNAcentral lists this ribosomal RNA (443 nucleotides) under uncultured bacterium. RNAcentral's name for it is "partial 16S ribosomal RNA". It matches the Rfam family "Bacterial small subunit ribosomal RNA", at positions 338 to 795 of the family's 1533-position model. The record is from RNAcentral.
CCUACGGGAGGCAGCAGUGGGGAAUAUUGGGCAAUGGGCGCAAGCCUGACCCAGCAACGCCGCGUGAAGGAAGAAGGCUUUCGGGUUGUAAACUUCUUUUCUCAGGGACGAAGCAAGUGACGGUACCUGAGGAAUAAGCCACGGCUAACUACGUGCCAGCAGCCGCGGUAAUCCGUAGGUGGCAAGCGUUAUCCGGAUUUACUGGGUGUAAAGGGCGUGUAGGCGGGAAAGCAAGUCAGAUGUGAAAACCAUGGGCUCAACCUGUGGCCUGCAUUUGAAACUGGUUUUCUUGAGUACUGGAGAGGCAGACGGAAUUCCUAGUGUAGCGGUGAAAUGCGUAGAUAUUAGGAGGAACACCAGGGGCGAAGGCGGUCUGCUGGACAGCAACUGACGCUGAGGCGCGAAAGCGUGGGGAGCAAACAGGAUUAGAUACCCCUGUAGUC